GAUGAACGCUGGCGGCGUGCCUAACACAUGCAAGUCGAACGAAGCUCCCGGAACCUGGCCUUCGGGUUAGGGGAAGGGAAGACUGAGUGGCGGACGGGUGAGUAACGCGUGAGCAACCUGCCUUUCAGAGGGGGAUAACGUCUGGAAACGGACGCUAAUACCGCAUAACAUCCAUGGAUCACAUGGUUAAUGGAUCAAAGAUUUAUCGCUGAAAGAUGGGCUCGCGUCCGAUUAGCUAGAUGGUGGGGUAAAGGCUCACCAUGGCGACGAUCGGUAGCCGGACUGAGAGGUUGAUCGGCCACAUUGGGACUGAGACACGGCCCAGACUCCUACGGGAGGCAGCAGUGGGGGAUAUUGCACAAUGGGGGAAACCCUGAUGCAGCAACGCCGCGUGAGGGAAGACGGUUUUCGGAUUGUAAACCUCUGUCUUCGGUGACGAUAAUGACGGUAGCCGAGGAGGAAGCUCCGGCUAACUACGUGCCAGCCGCCGCGGUAACAC
RNAcentral lists this ribosomal RNA (499 nucleotides) under uncultured bacterium. RNAcentral's name for it is "bacterial SSU rRNA". It matches the Rfam family "Bacterial small subunit ribosomal RNA", at positions 28 to 526 of the family's 1533-position model. The record is from RNAcentral.